This 486-nucleotide ribosomal RNA is filed under the name uncultured bacterium. RNAcentral describes it as "partial 16S ribosomal RNA". It matches the Rfam family "Bacterial small subunit ribosomal RNA", at positions 30 to 507 of the family's 1533-position model. The record is from RNAcentral.
AUUGAACGCUGGCGGCAUGCCUUACACAUGCAAGUCGAACGGCAGCACGGGUGCUUGCCCCUGGUGGCGAGUGGCGAACGGGUGAGUAAUACAUCGGAACAUGUCCUGUAGUGGGGAAUAGCCCGGCGAAAGCCGGAUUAAUACCGCAUACGAUCUACGGAUGAAAGCGGGGGACCUUCGGGCCUCGCGCUAUCGGGUUGGCCGAUGGCUGAUUAGCUAGUUGGUGGGGUAAAGGCCUACCAAGGCGACGAUCAGUAGCUGGUCUGAGAGGACGACCAGCCACACUGGGACUGAGACACGGCCCAGACUCCUACGGGAGGCAGCAGUGGGGAAUUUUGGACAAUGGGCGAAAGCCUGAUCCAGCAAUGCCGCGUGUGUGAAGAAGGCCUUCGGGUUGUAAAGCACUUUUGUCCGGAAAGAAAUCCUUGGCCCUAAUACGGUCGGGGGAUGACGGUACCGGAAGAAUAAGCACCGGCUAACUACGUG